This 378-nucleotide ribosomal RNA is filed under the name uncultured eukaryote. RNAcentral describes it as "SSU rRNA". It matches the Rfam family "Eukaryotic small subunit ribosomal RNA", at positions 587 to 972 of the family's 1831-position model. The record is from RNAcentral.
AGCUCUGUAAGCGUAUACCAAAGUUGUUGCAGUUAAAACGCUCGUAGUCGGACCUUGGCGGGCGACCAGGGGCGUCUUCACUGAUGUGUUUUGGUUGGCCGCCUCUGUGGAGGGGGGCCCAGUGGUGCUUCACUGCGCUACUGUGGUCGCUGCCACCUUUUACUGUAAAAAAAUUAGAGUGUUCAAAGCGGGCGUUUUCCAUGAAUACAUUAGCAUGGAAUAAUAGAAUAGGACCUGGUUCCUGUAUUGUUGGUUUAUGAGAGUCGGGUAAUGAUUAAGAGGGACAGUUGGGGGCAUUUGUAUUCCGGCGGCAGAGGUGAAAUUAUUGGAUUGUCGGAAGACAAAUGGCUGCGAAAGCGUCUGCCAAGGACCUUUUCA